UAAAGUGUAAAUUAGUUAUUAUUAAAUUAUUAUAAGUUAUAGUCUUUAAAAUUAAAAAAUUUGGCGGUAUUUUAGUCUUUUCAGAGGAACCUGUUCUAUAAUUGAUAAUCCACGAUUAGAAUUACUUAUUUUAAUAAUUUGUAUAUCGUUGUAAUUGAAUAUUUUAAGAGAAUAUUAAAUGUUCAAAAUUUUUAAAUAAAAAAUAAAUCAAAUCAAGGUGCAGUUUAUAAAUAAGAAGAAAUGGGUUACAAUAAAAAUAUUUUUGGUUUUUUAAUUUAAACAUUAAGGAUAAAUUGGAUUUGAAAGUAAUUUAAUUAAUUUAAAUUAAAUGAUUUUAGCUCUAAAAUAUGC
Molecule: ribosomal RNA, 351 nt
Filed under: Paramblopusa eoa
Lineage: Eukaryota; Metazoa; Arthropoda; Insecta; Coleoptera; Staphylinidae
Description: partial 12S ribosomal RNA
Source: RNAcentral